AUGAUGUACCUCCGCUAGGCCGACCUCUGACGAACAGCGUGCAAGCCGA
Molecule: small nucleolar RNA, 49 nt
Filed under: Pyrobaculum islandicum DSM 4184
Lineage: Archaea; Thermoproteati; Thermoproteota; Thermoprotei; Thermoproteales; Thermoproteaceae
Description: PISsR126
Source: RNAcentral